RNAcentral lists this long non-coding RNA (746 nucleotides) under Hordeum vulgare. Its description in RNAcentral is "long non-coding RNA (HVUL_LNC000113)". Lineage: Eukaryota; Viridiplantae; Streptophyta; Magnoliopsida; Poales; Poaceae. The record is from RNAcentral.
GGGUACCUAAUUUUUUCAGGCAUCAGUCACCUCUUCCUUUGUUCCAACAUCACCGUAGAAGAAGAAAGUCAGUGCCACAUUACCUAUUUUAGUGGUGGAGGCAUAGAGGAACAUCGAAGGAAGGGAGGAAGAAGAUAAACAGUGCAUUGUCUACAGCCGUUGGAUGAAAAUCCGAUAGUGCCUAAAGAAAGUGACUGGUAAAAAAAAGAAAAAAUCGACGCCUGCCUGACAUAUAGUCGGUCACUAAAAGAUAACUCUCUCACACAUAAAAGAAACAAAUAACCUGACCCAUGGUACAUGAGGUUAGCAAAAUCAAAAAUUCAUAAAGAAUCAAAUAUCCUUCCAAGUGAAGACAUCAAAAACGUGCUAAAUGUAAACACACUAGUACUUAAUAAUUAAUCGACGUAAGACAUGCAUAAUAGAGCUUUUCUUUGUCGAAUCUAAGAAGGCUCGGUAGAUCACUUUUGCUGCUAAUUAAGAUGUAAAUAUAGGGGCUAUGCUUGGCUCGAUGUCUUUUUGUCGGCGUUGCGGAUGUAGGACUCGUACGCGGCGGCGCUAGCAAGCAUGCACUUUCGCAGCGCCUCCCCCGCCUCGAAGCACGCCGCUUGCUUCUCCGUAGAUCCGUCGACCUCCUGGAACGCGUCCAGCACGGCUUCGAACUGAUCCCUGCAUCCGGGGAGGCACAUGAAAGCCUUGACUGCCCCGUCGAUCAUCUGCUCAGGAGAAGAAGACGACGACCACGACGA